RNAcentral lists this ribosomal RNA (255 nucleotides) under uncultured bacterium. Its description in RNAcentral is "partial 16S ribosomal RNA". It matches the Rfam family "Bacterial small subunit ribosomal RNA", at positions 524 to 776 of the family's 1533-position model. The record is from RNAcentral.
GACGAGGGGUCCAAGCGUUGUUCGGAAUCAUUGGGCGUAAAGCGGGUGUAGGUGGCUUUGUAAGUCAGGAGUGAAAUCCCCGAGCUUAACUUGGGAAGUGCUUUUGAAACUGCAGAGCUUGAAUGUGGGAGAGGAUCGUGGAAUUCCAGGUGUAGUGGUGAAAUACGUAGAUAUCUGGAGGAACACCGGUGGCGAAGGCGGCGAUCUGGGGAAGAUACUGACGCUGAGGUGCGAAAGCGUGGGGGAGCAAACAGG